AGUAAACGAUCUUGGAAACGGGAUUUGAAGGUUCCAAUAGCUUCGUAUGAUAAUUUCGGACUUGGGCGUAUGUACGGGCUAAGUAUAGGAUUGCCAGGGAGCAUCUCGGUGCUUACUAUAGAAAGUUGGCAUUCUGGAAGUUCUAGAAUUUCAUAAGUUUGGUUUGAAGUGGAUUUUGAUGUUAUCUAUGUCCGUUUGGAGUUUCGAGCCUUGGAAUAAGUUCGUAUCGUGAUUUGUGACUUGUGCGUAAAGUUUGGCGUCAUUCCGGAAUGUUUUGAUAUGAUUCGGACGUGUUUGUCGAAGUUUGAAAGUUGAAAGAAAGACUUUGAUCGUUGAUUCAUGAUUUUGAUAUUAUUCGUUGCGUUUCGAGCCUUUGGAUAAGUUUGUAUAAGGUAUUGAGACUUGUUGGUGUGAUUGGACGGGGUCCCGGGGGCCUCGGGUGAGAUUCAGGAUGGUUUCGGACCAAGUUUGGGUGUUUUGAUAUUGAUGGUUUCUAGUGUUUCUGGUAAGCAUCGUGAUCGCGGUUGAAGGGACGCGAUUACGAAGAGAAUCUGGGGAUGAAGAGGUUUUGUGCAUCGUGAACGCAGAGGGGAAGCUAAGGCAACCUACGCGAACGCGACAGGGAGGUUGCGAAUGCGUAGAAGAAAAAGAGGAUCUGGGCCUGGAGGUGCUAGGCCAUCGCGAGUGCGGCUCAAGGACUGCGAACGCAAAGGUGUGAGACGUGGAGGCAUCGCGAACGCGGAAAGGCCACCGCGAACGUGAAGAAGAGAUUUUGGGGGCAGGGCUGUUUGGCUUUCGCGAUCGUGAAGAGGAAGGAACUCGACAGUGGGUUUAAAAUUCGGGACUUAGCCCAUUUCUCUCACAUUUUCAUUUGGUUGAGUGAUUCUUAGAGCUCUUGGAGGGAAGAUUUCCAUCAUCUAUGUCAAGGAUCUGACAGGUCAUUUGGUGAUGACCCUUGCGCAUAGGCGCACCUGUUGAGGAGACUUUAUGUGAGUAGCAUUUCAGGCUACACAUCGCAGUCCACCGAGUCUCCAUUGUACUAAUUAUUUUACCCUGUCUUAUUACAUUCGGGACAGAUGUAUUAUUAUUGUACUCCUUAGAAAAAUGCUCAUGCACUUGUAACACUGGGUUUUGGGGGUUCCUGCAAGUUGUGCAUUAUUGUAGUUCGUGUAAAUAUUAUCAUUUACCCUGUAAAUUCUAUUUUUUCAUACUAUUUAAUUAAUAAAAAUUAUGAUUUCAACAUUCUAAAAUGAGUAAUUAAAUUGAUAAAUCAAUACUGGCUUGCCUGACGAUGGCGUUUGGCGCCAUCACGACCUAUAGUGGAUUUUUAGCCGUGACAAUUUUAUCUUACGAUUGGAAUUUUUAUUAGUCAUUGGUGAUUAAGUUGGUACUCUAAGGCUGCUGAUGGUAAUAUUUCUCCUUAUAGACUGAAACUUAUACGGACUACUUGGGAAAAGGUUGAAUAUUUAUGAUACCAAUUUGCCCUUAAUAUAUACAGCGUCAGGUUUUCUUGUCGUAUGGCAGCAGUUUGGGAUUUCUGCUAGGUCAAUGUCUGACACAAGAUAUUGGAGGUUGGGUGUACCUCUUCAUCUAACGUGUUAUGCUAACAUCAUAGUCUUAUAGCUUCUUCGUGCGCGGAAGAUUCAACUAAUAGAGAGACAUUUAGCUUGAUUUCAUUAUUAAUUGUUUUUAGCUAGAUGUAUGGUAUUUGAAUAUGGUAUUAAAUUUAAAUAUUUCUUGCUAGGAAGCAAGGUCUAUACAUCUAGAACUUCCUUAAUAAGUUUUUUUUAUUGAUAACCUCAUUCAGAACUUUCUCUACAGAUAAAGAAGUGGUUUCUUUAAUUUAAAAAUAGUAAAUACAUUAAAUAUUUAGUUUGGUCGAUAACUCAUACUUUAAACCUCUUUGGCAGAUGACAAUGCAUGAUUCUCUAUAAUUUGUUCUUGAUGAAGCAGUAUCUAGGAUCCUAUGGUAUUUUUGUUGGAGUAAGAGGUACAAUUGAAGCUCUAAAGUUUCUCAAAAUGUUCGGCAUCUCCAAUAUUUUCUUCUUAAAAAUAUUGAUUAGCAACCAGAUUUUCUUAAAAACAGAAAAGAAAUUCUGUUAACUCAGGUUGGUAAGUACCAUAUAGCCUUUGAAAUUUGAAAUCUUACACUUUAUCUCUCUUAUUUCCAAUUCUUUGAUUAUUAAUGUUAUGCGUGAACAUCAUUAUGUUGUUUUCUAACUUUUUGUCCCUCCGGAUUUUGAAGGUUGCUUUUAGAUAAAUAUGAUCAAGAAAGUUCUGCUU
Molecule: long non-coding RNA, 2283 nt
Organism: Nicotiana attenuata
Lineage: Eukaryota; Viridiplantae; Streptophyta; Magnoliopsida; Solanales; Solanaceae
Exons: 2
Source: RefSeq, a predicted model, not a curated record